GGUUGGCUGAGGUGAGCAGAUUUCAUCAGAACACGACCGGUACGCUCUUAAAAUGUUUAGUUUUGUCUAGUUAGCCAUUCAACAAAAUCUACAGCUUCAUGUUUCAACUUGUAUUUCUGUUUGGUUUCUUCUCAGGUUGCGUUCUGCUGGUGCUUUAGUGUUUCAACAUCCUGGUUCUCCUCCUGUAUCAGAUCCUCCUGUUGCCAUGAAGACUGUUCUUUGUUUUUAUAUCUGGUGGAUUCUCUUCCUCCGUGUUUCCUCCGAUUCUUCUGCUGAUGAAACUUCAGCUGAAAUGGACCAAAGCAGGGAUCUGAAAUGGGCCCUGAUAGGAGGAGCUGUUGGAAUCGCUAUUGGUGUUUUAAUCAUUGCUUCUGCCUGGACAUAUUACACAUUAUGUUUUAAGAAGUCAAGACAGACGAGGCACCAAGACAUCGAGUCAAACUGUGAUCAGUCAGAGUCUCUUCUUAAC
Poecilia latipinna (sailfin molly) is the source of this 469-nucleotide long non-coding RNA. RefSeq lists it as uncharacterized. NCBI's taxonomy places the organism in Eukaryota, Metazoa, Chordata, Actinopteri, Cyprinodontiformes, Poeciliidae. The record is from RefSeq and is a predicted model, not a curated record. The transcript has 3 exons.